GGCGUGCCUAACACAUGCAAGUCAACUUGACUGAAGGAGCAAUCUGACAGUAGAGUGGCGCAAGGGUGCGUAACGCGUAAGUAACUUGCCCAAGGUAAGGAAUAACGUCGAGAAAUCGGCGCUAAUACCUCAUAAUGCAGCGGAUCCGCAUGGAUAUGUUGUUAAAGGUUUACCGCCUUGGGAUAGGCUUGCGUCUGAUUAGCUAGUUGGUGUGGUAACGGCACACCAAGGCUACGAUCAGUAACUGGUCUGAGAGGAUGAUCAGUCACACUGGAACCGAGACACGGUCCAGACUCCUACGGGAGGCAGCAGUGAGGAAUAUUGGGCAAUGCUCGAAAGAGUGACCCAGCAACGCCGCGUGGAGGAUGAAGGUAUUCUAUAUCGUAAACUCCUGUGAGAGCAGACGAAAGACAGAUUAUUAAUCUGGAUGACUGUAUGCUCAGAGGAAGCCCCGGCUAACUACGUG
Molecule: ribosomal RNA, 466 nt
Filed under: uncultured bacterium
Lineage: Bacteria
Description: bacterial SSU rRNA
Rfam family: Bacterial small subunit ribosomal RNA
Source: RNAcentral